Frieseomelitta varia is the source of this 728-nucleotide long non-coding RNA. RefSeq lists it as uncharacterized. NCBI's taxonomy places the organism in Eukaryota, Metazoa, Arthropoda, Insecta, Hymenoptera, Apidae. The transcript is spliced from 2 exons. The record is from RefSeq and is a predicted model, not a curated record.
AAUAAUUAUGAAAUCAAUUCAUAAAUAAUUUUAAAUAAAUAAGUUAUUAAAUACGUCUUAUAGAGUACUCUUAUUGCAUUGUAUAUGCGAUCUCCUGUUAUUUAUGUAUAUCUAUAUCUAUAAGAACAUUUCCUAUAUGAUGACACAAAAGAUAAUUCGUCAAUGAUCAUGUGUAAUAUAGAUUGUACAUUAGUUACGCACAAACUACAAUUUCCACUAAUUUCAUUAUAUUUUUUUAGAAAUUCAAUAUUGUUAUUAACAAGAUUAUUUAAAUAAAACGUAGCAGUCAGUGUUUUAAUCUUUUUAAUUACAUAUUCAUAUAUCAGGAUCGACAUAUUUUAAUACAUUCAAUUUAAUAGUGUAAUUUAUUACUUUUUAUUUUAUUGAUUUCUUUCAAUAUAUCGGAAAUUAAAGAACUAAAAUAACGAGAAUUAUACUUUACUCAUAUCGAUUGUACAUGUAUUAUAGUGUAUAUUGCACAACCAAUCAAAUUACUAGUUAUAAAUAAACAUGGUUCUCUUUCUUUAAUCCGUUUUUGUCCUCUGCGCAGUGUCAAGAGCAUGUUGAAUAUAUCAUAUGUUUCUGUACAGAUUACAGUUCCUUAUUAAGAUUAUUUUAACAGUAUAUGAUUGAAUAUAAUAGUCUAUAAAAUAAAAACGUUUAAUGGUAUAAAUUGAGCGUAAACAAAUGUAAUUGAAAUAUUAAUAGAAAUUCCAAAAAUACUCCAA